RNAcentral lists this ribosomal RNA (993 nucleotides) under Odontosyllis sp. A ZW-2021. Its description in RNAcentral is "partial large subunit ribosomal RNA". It matches the Rfam family "Eukaryotic large subunit ribosomal RNA", at positions 72 to 841 of the family's 3401-position model. Lineage: Eukaryota; Metazoa; Annelida; Polychaeta; Phyllodocida; Syllidae. The record is from RNAcentral.
GGAUUCCCCUAGUAACGGCGAGUGAAGCGGGAAGAGCACAGCGCCGAAUCCCCCGGCUGCGGCUGGUGGGAGUUGUGGUGUUUGGGGCCUUGCGUGAGGUGCAAGCUGGGACCCGAGUCCUCCUGAUCGGGGCGUCGUCCCACAGCGGGUGUUAGGCCCCUGCGGUCUCGGCGAGCAUCUCCGGCUGGGCCCCCCGAGUCGGGUUGUUUGGGAAUGCAGCCCAAAGUGGGUGGUAGACUCCAUCCGAGGCUAAACACCGGUGCGAGUCCGAUAGCAGACAAGUACCGUGAGGGAAAGUUGAAAAGGACUUUGAAGAGAGAGUUCAAGAGUACGUGAAACCGUCCAGAGGCAAACGGACGGGACCGCACAGUCGACCCGAGGGAUUCAACCUGUCCGGAGACUUCUCGCUCUACUGCUUCGAUCCCCUCGUUGGGACGGGCGGCUGGGGCAGUAGGAGUCGCUGGCGGGUGCACUUCCUUCGGGGCGAGCGCCGCGACCGGCUCUGCGUUCGCCGGAGCUUUUGGCAAGGUGACCCGUCCCCCUCUGUGGGGAGGGGCGUUACAGGCCAGGAGCGACGGCCGAGCGUGGGGCCGAGGUAAUUUGACGGGCACCAGCCCUAGAGGCCCGGGCCGCCGGCCCCGGCGGGGGACCUUCGACUUGAAUGGACUGCUCGCAGUGCGUUCUGACUGCCCUCUGUCGGUGGACCGGACGGCUCCCGGGUGGUGCCCGGGUCAGCGGCGAGCGGGCCGGCACCCCGUCCGACCCGUCUUGAAACACGGACCAAGGAGUCUGGCCGACACGCAAGUCGCCGGGCAUGUCGAAGCCCGGGGGCGCAGCGAAGGCGAGUGACAGGACCCCGUUGUCCUGGUCUGGCAGAGAUCCCUGUCCCCUUGUGGGCGGGGUGCAGUGCUGGCCUGCCCGUUUCCCCUCCGAGGGAUGGGCAGAGUGGGAGCGUGUCCGCCGGGACCCGAAAGAUGGUGAACUAUGCCUGGG